GAAAAAAGCAAAAAGAAUAUUCAAUAACCGUACAAGCAUUUUGUAUUGAUGCAUACGGCUUUUGCACCUAUGCAAUUCAUCUUUUCCUAAAAGUAUUUUAUUCGAUGAAUUUUGUUUCUACAUUUACAAAUUUAUUUUUUUCUAUCAAAGAAAAAAGAAGUACAAAAUCUACUGGGUCUUUUGGAUCCGGAUCCUUAAAUAAUAAACAAUAAAAUCACCAACUUUCUUUUUUCUUUUUGAAUCUAUUUUCAAAUACUACGAUGGUUCCGUUGUUUUUUAUAUCAUUUUGGUAUUCAACAAUCCAAUUUUUUUUUUUUUUCAUAUGUUAUGUUUUCUUCUGAUUCAAAUAAAAAUUGUUAAAAGCUUUCUGGUAUGAAAAAAAACAAACAAGUCUGCGACACUAAAAUUAAACUAGGUUCCUUAUCGAUCAGAUAAAACGGUAAAUACCCUCUUUUUCAUACUACUCUUUCUAUAUAUAAUUCAAUAAUUUAAACAAAUUGCAUAUGGAAUUCAAAAUACCAUGCUAUUAUUACUUUGGUUUUUAUGGCGAAGGUAUAGUAUAUAUAUAUAGAUAUCUAUUCUAUA
RNAcentral lists this long non-coding RNA (585 nucleotides) under Phaseolus vulgaris (common bean). RNAcentral's name for it is "long non-coding RNA (PVUL_LNC000868)". Lineage: Eukaryota; Viridiplantae; Streptophyta; Magnoliopsida; Fabales; Fabaceae. The record is from RNAcentral.